GCCUGGAUAGCUCAGUUGGUUAGCGUGUGGUGCUGAUAAUGCCAAGGUUGCAGGUUCAAUCCCCCAUAUGGGGGUA
RNAcentral lists this transfer RNA (76 nucleotides) under Podarcis lilfordi (Lilford's wall lizard). RNAcentral describes it as "tRNA.Ile". The record is from RNAcentral. Lineage: Eukaryota; Metazoa; Chordata; Lepidosauria; Squamata; Lacertidae.